UACGUAGGGUGCGAGCGUUAAUCGGAAUUACUGGGCGUAAAGCGUGCGCAGGCGGUUCGUUAAGACAGAUGUGAAAUCCCCGGGCUUAACCUGGGAACUGCAUUUGUGACUGGCGAGCUAGAGUAUGGCAGAGGGGGGUAGAAUUCCACGUGUAGCAGUGAAAUGCGUAGAGAUGUGGAGGAAUACCGAUGGCGAAGGCAGCCCCCUGGGCCAAUACUGACGCUCAUGCACGAAAGCGUGGGGAGCAAAC
Molecule: ribosomal RNA, 250 nt
Filed under: uncultured bacterium
Lineage: Bacteria
Description: partial 16S ribosomal RNA
Rfam family: Bacterial small subunit ribosomal RNA
Source: RNAcentral